This 154-nucleotide small nuclear RNA is filed under the name Panthera leo (lion). Its description in RNAcentral is "U4 spliceosomal RNA (ENSPLOG00000006885.1)". The stretch from base 1 to 125 matches the Rfam family "U4 spliceosomal RNA". From Rfam's summary of the family: U4 small nuclear RNA (U4 snRNA) is a component of the major U2-dependent spliceosome. The structure of U4 snRNA from yeast and human has been reported. The record is from RNAcentral. Lineage: Eukaryota; Metazoa; Chordata; Mammalia; Carnivora; Felidae.
AGCUUUGUGCAGUGGGUGUAUCAUAGCCAAUGAGGUUUAUCCAAGGCACGAUUAUUGCUAAUUGAAAAUACAUACAAAAGAUAGAUAUAUUCCAAUCUGAAUUGUCAAUCAAAAUUAUUAAUUAUAUAUAAAUUAAUGUUAAUCUACCUUGAGA